Molecule: non-coding RNA, 96 nt
Filed under: marine eukaryotic metagenome
Description: TPP riboswitch (THI element)
Rfam family: TPP riboswitch aptamer (THI element)
About the family: Vitamin B(1) in its active form thiamin pyrophosphate (TPP) is an essential coenzyme that is synthesised by coupling of pyrimidine and thiazole moieties in bacteria. The previously detected thiamin-regulatory element, thi box was extended, resulting in a new, highly conserved RNA secondary structure, the THI element, which is widely distributed in eubacteria and also occurs in some archaea. Analysis of operon structures identified a large number of new candidate thiamin-regulated genes, mostly transporters, in various prokaryotic organisms.
Source: RNAcentral
AACCACUAGGGGAGCCCAAUAAUGGCUGAGAGAGGAUUUUUCCUCGACCCUUAGAACCUGACCUGGGUAAUACCAGCGGAGGGAAGUGGUUGUGUA